AGGUGGAAGCGUGGCGACAUGUGUAGCUGACUGAUACUAAUCGAUCGAGGACUUAACCAAA
Molecule: ribosomal RNA, 61 nt
Filed under: Priestia aryabhattai
Lineage: Bacteria; Bacillati; Bacillota; Bacilli; Caryophanales; Bacillaceae
Description: Bacillus aryabhattai partial 23S ribosomal RNA
Source: RNAcentral